This 246-nucleotide unclassified non-coding RNA is filed under the name uncultured fungus. RNAcentral describes it as "partial contains 5.8S rRNA and ITS2". Lineage: Eukaryota; Fungi. The record is from RNAcentral.
AACGCACAUUGCGCCCGCCAGUAUUCUGGCGGGCAUACCUGUUCGAGCGUCAUUUCAACCAUCAAGCCCCGGGCUUGUGUUGGGGACCUGCGGCUGCCGCAGGCCCUGAAAUGCAGUGGCGGGCUCGCUGUCACUCCGAGCGUAGUAGUUACAUCUCGCUCUGGGCGUGCUGCGGGUUCCGGCCGUUAAAAGCCUUAUUUACCCAAGGUUGACCUCGGAUCAGGUAGGAAGACCCGCUGAACUUAA